CCUACGGGGUGCAGCAGUGAGGAAUAUUGGUCAAUGGACGAGAGUCUGAACCAGCCAAGUAGCGUGAAGGAUGACUGCCCUAUGGGUUGUAAACUUCUUUUAUAUGGGAAUAAAAUGUUCCACGUGUGGGAUUUUGUAUGUACCAUAUGAAUAAGGAUCGGCUAACUCCGUGCCAGCAGCCGCGGUAAUACGGAGGAUCCGAGCGUUAUCCGGAUUUAUUGGGUUUAAAGGGAGCGUAGGUGGAUUGUUAAGUCAGUUGUGAAAGUUUGCGGCUCAACCGUAAAAUUGCAGUUGAAACUGGCAGUCUUGAGUAGAGUAGAGGUAGGCGGAAUUCGUGGUGUAGCGGUGAAAUGCUUAGAUAUCACGAAGAACUCCGAUUGCGAAGGCAGUUCACUGGACUGCAACUGACAUUGAUGCUCGAAAGUGUGGGUAUCAAACAGGAUUAGAUACCCUGGUAGUC
RNAcentral lists this ribosomal RNA (460 nucleotides) under uncultured bacterium. RNAcentral's name for it is "partial 16S ribosomal RNA". It matches the Rfam family "Bacterial small subunit ribosomal RNA", at positions 338 to 795 of the family's 1533-position model. The record is from RNAcentral.